AUACGUAGGUGGCAAGCGUUAUCCGGAAUUAUUGGGCGUAAAGAGUGAGCAGGCGGCAGUUUAAGUCUGAGGUUAAAGCGUGGGGCUCAACCCCAUAAAGCCUUGGAAACUGAACAGCUAGAGUACGGGAGAAGUGAAGGGAACUCCAUGUGUAGCGGUGAAAUGCGUAGAUAUAUGGAAGAACACCAGUGGCGAAGGCGCUUCACUAGCCCGAAACUGACGCUCAGUCACGAAAGCGUGGGUAGCAAAUAGGAUUAGAUACCCUAGUAGUCCACGCUGUAAACGAUGAUAACUAAAUAUUGCCGCGAGGCAGUGUUGAAGCUAACGCAUUAAGUUAUCCGCCUGGGGAGUACGGUCGCAAGACUGAAACUUAAAGGAAUUGACGGGG
This 388-nucleotide ribosomal RNA is filed under the name uncultured bacterium. RNAcentral describes it as "partial 16S ribosomal RNA". It matches the Rfam family "Bacterial small subunit ribosomal RNA", at positions 523 to 918 of the family's 1533-position model. The record is from RNAcentral.